Molecule: transfer-messenger RNA, 51 nt
Filed under: Klebsiella pneumoniae
Lineage: Bacteria; Pseudomonadati; Pseudomonadota; Gammaproteobacteria; Enterobacterales; Enterobacteriaceae
Also listed under: 3 other names
Description: partial transfer-messenger RNA
Rfam family: transfer-messenger RNA
About the family: Bacterial tmRNA, also known as 10Sa RNA or SsrA, is named for its dual tRNA and mRNA-like properties. Its role is to liberate the mRNA from a stalled ribosome.
Source: RNAcentral
AAUGGUAUGUAGGAAUUUCGGACGCGGGUUCAACUCCCGCCAGCUCCACCA